This 845-nucleotide ribosomal RNA is filed under the name Chaetomium anastomosans. Its description in RNAcentral is "partial large subunit ribosomal RNA". It matches the Rfam family "Eukaryotic large subunit ribosomal RNA", at positions 65 to 942 of the family's 3401-position model. Lineage: Eukaryota; Fungi; Ascomycota; Sordariomycetes; Sordariales; Chaetomiaceae. The record is from RNAcentral.
CCAACAGGGAUUGCCCUAGUAACGGCGAGUGAAGCGGCAACAGCUCAAAUUUGAAAUCUGGCUUCGGCCCGAGUUGUAAUUUGCAGAGGAAGCUUUAGGCGCGGCACCUUCUGAGUCCCCUGGAACGGGGCGCCAUAGAGGGUGAGAGCCCCGUAUAGUUGGAUGCCUAGCCUGUGUAAAGCUCCUUCGACGAGUCGAGUAGUUUGGGAAUGCUGCUCAAAAUGGGAGGUAAAUUUCUUCUAAAGCUAAAUACCGGCCAGAGACCGAUAGCGCACAAGUAGAGUGAUCGAAAGAUGAAAAGCACUUUGAAAAGAGGGUUAAAUAGCACGUGAAAUUGUUGAAAGGGAAGCGCUUGUGACCAGACUUGCGCCGGGCGGAUCAUCCGGUGUUCUCACCGGUGCACUCCGCCCGGCUCAGGCCAGCAUCGGUUCUCGCGGGGGGAUAAAGGUCCUGGGAACGUAGCUCCUCCGGGAGUGUUAUAGCCCGGGGCGUAAUGCCCUCGCGGGGACCGAGGUUCGCGCAUCUGCAAGGAUGCUGGCGUAAUGGUCAUCAGCGACCCGUCUUGAAACACGGACCAAGGAGUCAAGGUUUUGCGCGAGUGUUUGGGUGUAAAACCCGCACGCGUAAUGAAAGUGAACGUAGGUGAGAGCUUCGGCGCAUCAUCGACCGAUCCUGAUGUUUUCGGAUGGAUUUGAGUAGGAGCGUUAAGCCUUGGACCCGAAAGAUGGUGAACUAUGCUUGGAUAGGGUGAAGCCAGAGGAAACUCUGGUGGAGGCUCGCAGCGGUUCUGACGUGCAAAUCGAUCGUCAAAUCUGAGCAUGGGGGGCGAAAGACUAAUCGAACCA